UACAGAGACGUCAAGCGUUGUUCGGAUUCAUUGGGCGUAAAGGGCGCGCAGGCGGUCGGGUAAGUCAGAUGUGAAAUCUCGCAGCCUAACUGCGAUAGGUCAUUUGAAACUGCCCGGCUCGAGGACUGGAGGGGAGACUGGAAUAGCUGGUGUAGCGGUGAAAUGCGUAGAGAUCAGCUAGAACACCGGUGGCGAAGGCGAGUCUCUGGACAGUUCCUGACGCUGAGGCGCGAAAGCCAGGGGAGCAAACGGG
RNAcentral lists this ribosomal RNA (253 nucleotides) under uncultured bacterium. RNAcentral's name for it is "partial 16S ribosomal RNA". It matches the Rfam family "Bacterial small subunit ribosomal RNA", at positions 524 to 776 of the family's 1533-position model. The record is from RNAcentral.